GAUGAACGCUGGCGGCGUGCCUAAUACAUGCAAGUCGAGCGAACAGACGAGGAGCUUGCUCCUCUGACGUUAGCGGCGGACGGGUGAGUAACACGUGGAUAACCUACCUAUAAUACUGGGAUAACUUCGGGAAACCGGAGCUAAUACCGGAUAAUAUAUUGAACCGCAUGGUUCAAUAGUGAAAGACGGUUUUGCUGUCACUUAUAGAUGGAUCCGCGUCGCAUUAGCUAGUUGGUAAGGUAACGGCUUACCAAGGCAACGAUGCGUAGCCGACCUGAGAGGAGGAGCGGCCACACUGGAACUGAGACACGGUCCAGACUCCUACGGGAGGCAGCAGUAGGGAAUCUUCCGCAAUGGGCGCAAGCCUGACGGAGCCACGCCGCGUGAGUGAUGAAGGUCUUCGGAUCGUAAAACUCUGUUAUUAGGGAAGAAAAAAUGUGUAAGUAACUAUGCACGUCUUGACGGUACCUAAUCAGAAAGCCACGGCUAACUACGUG
This 497-nucleotide ribosomal RNA is filed under the name uncultured bacterium. RNAcentral describes it as "partial 16S ribosomal RNA". It matches the Rfam family "Bacterial small subunit ribosomal RNA", at positions 28 to 507 of the family's 1533-position model. The record is from RNAcentral.